Molecule: ribosomal RNA, 1100 nt
Filed under: uncultured prokaryote
Description: bacterial SSU rRNA
Rfam family: Bacterial small subunit ribosomal RNA (bases 1-957)
Source: RNAcentral
AUUGUGUCAGCCGCCGCGCGGUAAUACGGAGGAUGCAAGCGUUGCUCGGAAUUAUUGGGCGUAAAGGGCAGGUAGGUGGUCUCAUUUGUCUGGGGUGAAAGCCUUGGGCUUAACCCAAGAAGUGCCCCAGAAACGGUGAGACUCGAGUGCCGGAGAGAUGAGUGGAAUUCCCGGUGUAGCAGUGAAAUGCGUAGAGAUCAGGAGGAACACCAGAGGCGAAGGCGGCUCACUGGACAGCAACUGACACUCAACUGCGAAAGCGUGGGGAGCAAACAGGAUUAGAUACCCUAAUAGUCCACGCUAUAAACGAUGGGUACUAGGCUUAGUAGGUCUUGACCCCCGCCAAGCCAAAGCUAACGCAAUAAGUACCCCGCCUGGGAAGUACAGUCGCAAGACUAAAACUCAAAGGAAUUGACGGGGGCCCGCACAAGCGGUGGAUCAUGUGGUUUAAUUCGAAGCAACGCAAAGAACCUUACCUGGGUUUGACAUCUCCUGACAGCCAGAAAGAUCCGGUUUCUGUAGCAAUACAGCAGGAAGACAGGUGCUACAUAACUGUCGUCAGCUCAUGUAAUGACAUGUUGGGUUAAGUCCCGCAACGAGCGCAACCCUUGUCCUUAGUUGCCAGCAUUCAGUUAAACUCUCUAAGGAGACUGCCGUGGUUAACACAAAAAAAGGUAAAGAUAACAUCAAGUCCUCAUGGCCUUUAUAUCCAGGGCGACACACGUGAUACAAUGGACGGUACAGAAAGAAGCGAAGCCGCGAAGCAGAGCCAAUCUCAAAAAGCCGUUCUCAGUUCGGAUUGAGUCUGCAACUCGACUCCAUGAAGUUGGAAUCGCUAGUAAUCGCGGAUCAGCACGCCGCGGUGAUACGUUCCCGGGCCUUGCACACACCGCCCGUCAAAUACACGUCUGACUGGAAACCCUGGCGUUACCCACUAAUCGCUGCAGCACAUCCCCUUCUGCCCAGCUGGCGUAAUAACGAAAGCCGCACCGAUUGCUUCCCACAGUUGCCACCGGAAUGGGAAUGGCCGGAUGCGAAUUUCUCACACUUUGCGAUUCACAGAUGGACCCGCACUGCUUUAGGCCAGUUAGCGGCCGGAC